UACGAAGGGGGCUAGCGUUGCUCGGAAUCACUGGGCGUAAAGGGCGCGUAGGCGGACCUGCAAGUCGGGGGUGAAAGCCCGAGGCUCAACCUCGGAACUGCCUUCGAUACUGCGGGUCUCGAGUCCGGGAGAGGUGAGUGGAAUUCCUAGUGUAGAGGUGAAAUUCGUAGAUAUUAGGAAGAACACCAGUGGCGAAGGCGGCUCACUGGCCCGGUACUGACGCUGAGGCGCGAAAGCGUGGGGAGCAAACAGG
Molecule: ribosomal RNA, 253 nt
Filed under: uncultured bacterium
Lineage: Bacteria
Description: partial 16S ribosomal RNA
Rfam family: Bacterial small subunit ribosomal RNA
Source: RNAcentral